GCUCACCAAGGCGACGAUCCGUAACUGGUCUGAGAGGAUGAUCAGUCACACUGGAACUUGAGACACGGUCCAGACUUCCUACGGGAGGCAGCAGUGGGGAAUAUUGGACAAUGGGCGAAAGCCUGAUCCAAGCCAUGCCGCGUGUGUGAAGAAGGUCUUCGGAUUGUAAAGCACUUUAAGUUGGGAGGAAGGGCCAUUACCUAAUACGUGAUGGUUUUGACGUUACCGACAGAAUAAGCACCGGCUAACUCUGUGCCAGCAGCCGCGGUAAUACAGAGGGUGCAAGCGUUAAUCGGAAUUACUGGGCGUAAAGCGCGCGUAGGUGGUUUGUUAAGUUGGAUGUGAAAUCCCCGGGCUCAACCUGGGAACUGCAUUCUAAAACUGACUGACUAGAGUAUGGUAGAGGGUGGUGGAAUUUCCUGUGUAGCGGUGAAAUGCGUAGAUAUAGGAAGGAACACCA
RNAcentral lists this ribosomal RNA (460 nucleotides) under Pseudomonas sp. Z43. RNAcentral describes it as "bacterial SSU rRNA". It matches the Rfam family "Bacterial small subunit ribosomal RNA", at positions 263 to 711 of the family's 1533-position model. The record is from RNAcentral. Lineage: Bacteria; Pseudomonadati; Pseudomonadota; Gammaproteobacteria; Pseudomonadales; Pseudomonadaceae.